CGCACAGCCACGCGCUAUACUGAAGAAAGAGGAAGAAAGUUGAUGGAAUCUAAAGACCAAUGUAAAUAUAAUUUUGGCUGUCGCUCCAGUGAUAAGGUGGCACUGGCGGUCUGGAAGAAGACAGAGAGAAUCGAGGGCCGACCUUCCCAGAUGGAGAGUCUGAGCUCUGCCACUGUCCUCCACACCGUCAUGACUGCUUCACGUCGCCUUUGAGACACUGUGUGCAGCAUUACUGUAUAAGGGUGAUUGUGUGUGUGUGUGUGUGUGUGUGUGUGUGUGUGUAAGGUGGAAGCGUUGAGAAGAUGCUUUAAGAUGCUGGUGAGAAUGGAAAAG
This is a long non-coding RNA of Sinocyclocheilus anshuiensis, 333 nucleotides long. RefSeq lists it as uncharacterized. The record is from RefSeq and is a predicted model, not a curated record. NCBI's taxonomy places the organism in Eukaryota, Metazoa, Chordata, Actinopteri, Cypriniformes, Cyprinidae. The transcript has 2 exons.